RNAcentral lists this ribosomal RNA (253 nucleotides) under uncultured bacterium. Its description in RNAcentral is "partial 16S ribosomal RNA". It matches the Rfam family "Bacterial small subunit ribosomal RNA", at positions 524 to 776 of the family's 1533-position model. The record is from RNAcentral.
GACGGAGGAUGCAAGCGUUAUCCGGAAUUACUGGGCGUAAAGCGUGCGCAGGCGGUCUUGCAAGACAGAUGUGAAAUCCCCGGGCUCAACCUGGGAACUGCAUUUGUGACUGCAAGGCUAGAGUACGGUAGAGGGGGAUGGAAUUCCGCGUGUAGCAGUGAAAUGCGUAGAUAUGCGGAGGAACACCGAUGGCGAAGGCAAUCCCCUGGACCUGUACUGACGCUCAUGCACGAAAGCGUGGGGAGCAAACAGG